GUUUCACGCAAUAAUGUGUCCCUGAACAAAGUGGGGGUCAAAAUCAAAAGUAACAGUCAGUAUCUGGUGUGGCCACCAGCUGCAUUAAGUACUGCAGUGCAUUUCCUCCUCAUGGACUGCACCAGAUUUGCCAGUUCUUGCUGUGAGAUGUUACCCCAUUCUUCCACCAAGGCACCUGCAAGUUCCCAGACAUUUCUGGGGGGGAAUGGCCCUAGCCCUCACCCUCUGAUCCAACAGGUCCCAGACGUGCUCAAUGGGAUUGAGAUCCAGGCUCUUCGCUGGCCAUGGCAGAACACUGACAUUCCUGUCUUGCAGGAAAUCACGCACAGAACGAGCAGUAUGGCUGGUGGCAUUGUCAUGCUGGAGAGGAUGUCUUCCCGGUAAUGCACAGCGUUGAGAUUGCCUGCAAUGACAACAAGCUCAGUCCGAUGAUGCUGUGACACACUGCCCCAGACCAUGAUGGACCCUCCACCUCCAAAUUGAUCCCUUGCUCCUGUCUAGGCGUCUCACAGUACGGACAUUGCAAUUUAUUGCCCUGGCCACAUCUGCAGUCCUCAUGCCUCCUUGCAGCAUGCCUAAGGCACGUUCACGCAGAUGAGCAGGGACCCUGAGCAUUUGUUUUAUUUAUUUUUUCUCAGAGUCAGUAGAAAGGCCUCUUUAAUGUCCUAAGUUUUCAUAACUGUGACCUUAAUUGUCAGGUGCAUGUUCAUUAAUUGUUUAUGGUUUAUUGAACAAGCAUGGGAAACAGUGUUUAAAACCUUUACAAUGAAGAUCUGUGAAGUUAUUUUGAUUUUUACGAAUUAUCUUUGAAAGACAGGGUCCUGAAAAAGGGACGUUUCUUUUUUUGCUGAGUUUAUGUUUCUAGAUUUCAGAGCUGGUGUUCGUCAUCAAACUGUAUAAUCCAUGGUAAACGCAUUCAAAAAUAUAACACACGAUAGACAAACUUUAGUCAAACCUAACUUUUAUUCAAAUAACAUGUACAGCUCUAUGCUCUACAGUAAGCUAACACAGUAGUGCGGUAGAGACGGGGGUUGGGGGGUGCUCAGCAAGGGACCAUAUGACACAGCACACCUCGGGGUCUUGAGAGGAGGCGCCUUCAGAGUGUCUCACGGCAUACAUUAUGUUGUAUGCCAUAGGGAACGUAUGAAGUGGUGCCUUUUUUAUUGCUUGAAAAGACCAAAAAUAUCAAACAAGAUUAAAACCAAAUACUUAUUAAAAUGCCCAUGUAGCGGACAUGAGUCGGAGAGGUAAUGGUGACACCCACUAGUAUGAAAUAAUGUUGCGGAUUUACCUCAGUGAUCUCUGACUUUGUCGGGAUUGACCUCUGGGCGUCAAUGGCAACAACAACAACAAAAAUGGCUCAUCAAAAUGGAAGACAUUCUCUGCAGGAGAAAUGUAUUCAAAUGUCUCCCUCAUCCUAAUUUUCUUCAUGCUAGUGAGUAAAUAUAUAGAGAAACAUUUGAGGAAAUGUGGAAUUGGAAACCAAAUAGAAGAUAGGAGUGAUAUAGUAUCUCAAAAGUCUUUACUUGAUUCCUUGUGUCUGUUCUCCUUGACACCUCCUCAACGCAUCAGAAGGAAGAAAGGAGAGCAGGAUGGGAAGAUAUGAGUUUUCUAUGAAUAAUCAACUAAAUGCUUUUAUGAUUCAUCCUCCCCUGGUAUCCAGAAAGAGGAUAACAUUGACGGAACUCAACACUAAGGCUUGCCUAAUAAAUCAGACUGAUAUGAAUUAUUGGUAUACAGUCUGAAACAAAGUUUCCUUUCAAGCCAGAAUCUUCAAUAAAAUGACGUUUGAACUUACUCUACCUGUUGUGAGGUUGGUCCUUCAGAACAUCCACAGAGAACCUGAGCCCUAGGACAAUGCCUCGCCUGAUGACUCCUUGCUGUCCCCAGUCCACCUGGCCGUGUUGCUGCUCCAUUUUCAACUGUUCUGCCUGCGACUAUCGAACCCUGACCUGUUCAACGAACGUGCUACCCUGCUGUUUUCGACUCUCUCUCUACGGCACCUGCUGUCUAUAACUCUGAAUGAUCGGCUAUUAAUCCUGAGGUGCUGACCUGUUGCACCCUCUACAACCACUGUGAUCAUUAUUAUUUGACCCUGCUGGUCAUAUAUGAACGUUUGAACAUCUUGGCCAUGUACUGUUAUAAUCUCCACCCGGCACAGCCAGAAGAGGACUGGCCACCUCUCAGAGCCAGAUUCCUCUCCAGGUUUCAUCCUAGGUUUUCUGCCUUUCUAGGGAGUUUUUCCUAGCCACCGUGCUUCUACAUCUGCAUUGCUUGCUGUUUGGGGUUUUAGGCUGGGUUUCUGUGUAGCACUUUGUGACAUCGGCUGAUGUAAAAAGGGCUUUAUGAAUACAUUUGAAUGAUUGUAAUCCUGUGAUCUAAUAUGUUUUUCGUUUUUUUUAAGUUCAGAGGCAUAUUUUAUUUGAAACCCACUAAGAUGUUUGUGUCAGGCCAGUGAACUAAUGUUACUUUAAAUUAUUGUAUAACAUAUAUAGUGUGCUGUAGGCCUACCUAUUGUAUGACCAAUGGAAUAAAGAAAGAUUCAGUGG
This is a long non-coding RNA of Oncorhynchus keta (chum salmon), 2549 nucleotides long. RefSeq lists it as uncharacterized. The transcript is spliced from 2 exons. The record is from RefSeq and is a predicted model, not a curated record. NCBI's taxonomy places the organism in Eukaryota, Metazoa, Chordata, Actinopteri, Salmoniformes, Salmonidae.